CAACUCUCAUUUUACAUUCAACUCUGGAGUAUGCGCAUUUAUAUAAACCUUGGUUCUUUCCCUUCGUCACUCACAAUCAAGAGAAAGUUCGCGUUUUUUCUCUGAAACUUAAUUUUAAAAAUGUCUGGACGUUCUGGUGGGAAAAAGAAGCCUUUAAAGGCCCCUAAAAAGGAUUCCAAAGAAUUAGAUCAUGAUGAUUUAGCAUUUAAGCAAAAGGAGAAAGAAAAAGAAAAAGCUUUAAAAGAUGCAAGGGCUAAAGCAACUCAGAAAGGCCCAAUGGGUGGAGGUGGCAUAAAGAAGUCUGGAAAACGGCAGUGAUUGGCUUCUACUGUUUUCAGCUACAGAUUCAUGAUUUUCAUUUGGAUAUAAAUAUUUUUAUUUUAAAUAAGUCUUCUGUUUUCAUUUUGAAUUUAGAAGCAUUUCUGACCAACUUUUCAACUUGAUGUCCUGAGUUAAACAUUAAAUUUUGGAAACCAUACUUCAACCUGUGGACCAUAAUUUCACUAAUUA
This is a long non-coding RNA of Octopus sinensis (East Asian common octopus), 510 nucleotides long. RefSeq lists it as uncharacterized. The transcript has 4 exons. The record is from RefSeq and is a predicted model, not a curated record. NCBI's taxonomy places the organism in Eukaryota, Metazoa, Mollusca, Cephalopoda, Octopoda, Octopodidae.